Long non-coding RNA from Platichthys flesus (European flounder), 1023 nucleotides. RefSeq lists it as uncharacterized. The record is from RefSeq and is a predicted model, not a curated record. The transcript is spliced from 3 exons. Lineage: Eukaryota; Metazoa; Chordata; Actinopteri; Pleuronectiformes; Pleuronectidae.
GCAUUGGGCGACACCAUGGGCACCGCCCCUCUUUUCCGGCACCGCAUUUGAAACGUUGGAAUAGAUGACUGUGGACGUCUGGACGAGGCUGAGGAGCAGAUCUGCUUUCAAGAGGUCAGCACGAGGAGCUGCCGAGCUGUCAGCUCUUAAACCUGGAGGGUUCUGAACACACUUAAGAUAUUUCCAAUAUGGAAGAUGAGGAGCUCCAAUCACACAUCCAGAGUGACCUCCAGCCUGCAGCUAUGGGUGCAGCCGAUUUGGAGGUUCUGAUGGCCAUGAAUAAUCACUGGAAAACCAGGAGCUUUGGGCUCCAACACUUCAGACCCCUGACCCCAUCCUCAGACUGCUCAGCGGAAGAGUCUGCGUCUCCAGAGUCCAAUGUUGUAAAGGAAUCCCCUUUGUAGAUUGCCUCUGCCGGCGAUGAUAUAGUGGCAGUGGCUGCAAUCUAGUCUUAUUGUGCAACAACAACAGUUCAUGAAAUGUGACAAAAGUAUUUUUGUCACCAUUAAAAUGUUAAAAUUGUUAUUCUGUGCCUUUGCUUCUUUUCUGGCCACAUUCAUAAAGGAGGCCCUCUCUGAAGUGUUAUGAAACUUGGGUUGUUGCAGGAAGAUGGAGGUGGAAAUAUGAAUGAGAGUUUGAAAGAGGAGUUUGAGUUUUACUGAGAGGAACUAUCAGAAUUUUUUUCUCAACACUACAAUAUUAAUGAAGGAUUUGACUUCGAUGGCCAUCCCUACUUGUUUGAGCUUGAGUUUACAGAUUAAGAAUUCGGACAAAUUGAGGAACGAAGGAGGAGAGAAACAAGCAGAAGAGAGAUGAGCUGCUGCAUGGUUGUGCGUGAAACUUCUAGAGCGAGAAAUGUAUUAAGCAGCCAGACUCUUAGCAAAGAUUGGACUGUCACAGUUGCCCAUAAGAUUACAUUGUAACCACUGCUGUCGAGUUGCAGCUGCCGGGGGAGGCAAUCUAUUAGACCAAUUCCAAACUUUUUGUAAGUACCCUUCAUUGACAAUCACAUUUUCAAACAUA